GCUACCGCUUAGAGAUGGGCUUGCGCACCAUUAGCUUGUUGGUGGGGUAAUGGCCUACCAAGGCUUUGAUGGUUAGCCGACCUGAGAGGGUGAUCGGCCACAUUGGGACUGAGAUACGGCCCAGACUCCUACGGGAGGCAGCAGUAGGGAAUUUUGCGCAAUGGACGAAAGUCUGACGCAGCAACGCCGCGUGAGGGAUGAGGGGUUUCGGCUCGUAAACCUCUGUUGAGUAGGAAGAAACGUCAUGGGGUUAAUACCCUCAUGGCCUGACGGUACUACUCGAGGAAGCUCCGGCUAACUACGUGCCAGCAGCCGCGGUAAUACGUAGGGGGCGAGCGUUGUUCGGAAUCACUGGGCGUAAAGGGAGCGUAGGCGGGAAGGUAAGUCAGAAGUCUAACACAUGGUCUUAACCCAUGUCCGGCUUUUGAUACUGCUUUUCUUGAGUAUGGGAGAGGAAGAUGGAAUUCCAGGUGUAGCGGUGGAAUGCGUAGAUAUCUGGAAGAACACCAGUUGCGAAGGCGGUCUUCUGGCCCAAUACUGACGCUGAGGCUCGAAAGCUAGGGGAGCAAACAGGAUUAGAUACCCUGGUAGUCCUAGCCAUAAACGAUGGACACUAGUUGGUGGAGGGAGUCAAUCUUUUCACUGACGAAGUUAACGCAUUAAGUGUCCCGCCUGGGGAGUACGCCCGCAAGGGUGAAACUCAAAGGAAUUGACGGGGGCCCGCACAAGCGGUGGAGCAUGUGCUUUAAUUCGAUGCAACGCGAAGAACCUUACCUGGGUUUGACAUGGGGAUGAAACUCUCCAGAGAUGGAGAGCCUUCCUUCGGGAACAUCCUACACAGGUGCUGCAUGGUUGUCGUCAGCUCGUGUCGUGAGAUGUUGGGUUAAGUCCCGCAACGAGCGCAACCCUCGUCCUUAGUUGCCAUCAGGUAAUGCUGGGAACUCUAGGGAGACUGCCUGGUCACAACCAGGAGGAAGGUGAGGAUGACGUCAAAUCAUCAUGGCUCUUACGCCCAGGGCUAGACACGUGCUACAAUGGUUGGUACAAUGGGAUGCCACACUGCGAAGUGGAGCAAACCCCAAAAAACCAACCUCAGUUCAGAUUGGAGUCUGCAAUUCGACUCCAUGAAGGUGGAAUCGCUAGUAAUCGCGGAUCAGCAUGCCGCGGUGUAUACGUUCCCGGGCCUUGUACA
This 1192-nucleotide ribosomal RNA is filed under the name uncultured organism. RNAcentral's name for it is "bacterial SSU rRNA". It matches the Rfam family "Bacterial small subunit ribosomal RNA", at positions 211 to 1387 of the family's 1533-position model. The record is from RNAcentral.